CCUACGGGCGGCAGCAGUGAGGAAUAUUGGUCAAUGGACGAGAGUCUGAACCAGCCAAGUAGCGUGAAGGAUGACUGCCCUAUGGGUUGUAAACUUCUUUUAUAUGGGAAUAAAAUGUUCCAUGUGUGGGAUUUUGUAUGUACCAUAUGAAUAAGGAUCGGCUAACUCCGUGCCAGCAGCCGCGGUAAUACGGAGGAUCCGAGCGUUAUCCGGAUUUAUUGGGUUUAAAGGGAGCGUAGGUGGAUUGUUAAGUCAGUUGUGAAAGUUUGCGGCUCAACCGUAAAAUUGCAGUUGAAACUGGCAGUCUUGAGUACAGUAGAGGUGGGCGGAAUUCGUGGUGUAGCGGUGAAAUGCUUAGAUAUCACGAAGAACUCCGAUUGCGAAGGCAGUUCACUGGACUGCAACUGACACUGAGGCUCGAAAGUGUGGGUAUCAAACAGGAUUAGAUACCCCUGUAGUC
RNAcentral lists this ribosomal RNA (460 nucleotides) under uncultured bacterium. RNAcentral's name for it is "partial 16S ribosomal RNA". It matches the Rfam family "Bacterial small subunit ribosomal RNA", at positions 338 to 795 of the family's 1533-position model. The record is from RNAcentral.